CUUCCCUUUUCAAAUUAUCGUAUACAAAUUAAGGGGUAUAUCUGGUACUAUGUCUCAUCUCAAACAUGCCUCAACGGUGGUAAUUAUCAUGCAAUCCAAAUAUUUAUGCAGGAUAGGUCUAUAUAUGCUUGAUAAUAGAUUGUGCCCUUUUUGGGAAUGUAAUAUUGUAGAACAGCUUAUGUGAAAUGUAUGGAAAAUGUUUGCAAAUGCUGAUAUUGAAUAGAACUUCCUUUUUCAAAUUAUCGUAUACAAAUUAAGGGGUAUAUCUGGUACUAUGUCUCAUCUCAAACAUGCCUCAACGGUGGUAAUUAUCAUGCAAUCCAAAUAUUUAUGCAGGAUAGGUCUAUAUAUGCUUAUUAGUUCUUAACACAGGUACAUCCAAUAGAAUAUGUUUAGAAAGAUUGGUGUCCUUUUAAGAAAUGUUGACAUCAGUGUAGCUGCAAAUAAACAUGUC
This 454-nucleotide long non-coding RNA is filed under the name Zea mays. Its description in RNAcentral is "long non-coding RNA (ZMAY_LNC000491)". The record is from RNAcentral. Lineage: Eukaryota; Viridiplantae; Streptophyta; Magnoliopsida; Poales; Poaceae.